Molecule: RNA transcript, 2087 nt
Organism: Brassica napus (rape)
Lineage: Eukaryota; Viridiplantae; Streptophyta; Magnoliopsida; Brassicales; Brassicaceae
Exons: 10
Source: RefSeq, a predicted model, not a curated record
UCUAUAAACCAAUGAAAGAAGGGGAAACCUCUCUAUCUUGCUGAAACCAAGACAAAGCGAAUCGGACGAUCAGAGAUCCCCUUUUGUCGUUUUUAAAGCUUAAAGAAUCCGAAAUGAGCGAGCUUCAGAAACCCAAAUCCAAAAGAGAAGAAGAGGAAGAAGAAGCUAAUAAUAACGUCGGUUGCAGAGAAGAGCAGGAACAAGCCCUCGUCGCUUUAGUAGAGCACCGUUCAGCUGAGAUAGAUCGUCUCAAGCAUCACAUAUCUAACUACCAAACCAAGCUUAUUGAAGCACAGAGAAGUUUGAGAGAUUCAAAAGCCAAGUUAUCUAACCUUCGUGGCCAUGAUGAAUCUGCAAGAAACGUUACUCCUUCUAGGAAAGACUCUUAUCCAUCUCCGUCACCUAGCAAGAUUCUUAAACCCUCUGUUCCUACAAGUAGUAUCUCCAAGUCCAAGACCAACACUGUUGUUGUGAAGCAAAAGCCUGAGACUUCUUCUUCUCGUGACGGUUUCUCCAACUCCAAGACCAAAACUGUUGUUGUGAAACAAAAGCCUGAGACUUCUUCUUCUCGUGACUGUCCUAAUCUUAAAGCUAGCAGAGAUCGGGAUAAAGGGACGAAAAGGAAGUUCGAGCACAAGGAGCAUAAAGAGUUGAUUAGGUUUAUAGCUAGAAACUCUUCACCUACUACAAUCAAGUGUCAUUCUAGUAACCAAAUCUCCAGUCAGCAUAAGAGGAAGUUAAGAAGCUUGAUUCUCUGUCCUGUAAAUGAGCAGCUUUUUGCAACUAGUUCUCUGGAUGGCAUGGUCAGCUUAUGGCAACUGCAACCUGGAAGGUUGUCUGCAUCAUUGCUUAGUACAACAGACUGUUUAUCUCAAAAACAAAGAAGAUGGGGAGAAGAUAUGGCAUGGCACCCAUCCGGGCACGCCCUUUUCUCUGUAUACACUGCAGACGAUGGUGAUUCCCAGAUAUCCAUCCUAAAUCUGAACAAGACACGCGGGGUUACUUUCCUGGAGAAUAAACCACACGUGAAAGGGAUAAUCAACAGCAUAAAGUUCAUGCCAUGGGAAAACACAUGCUUUGUAACGGGAGGAAGCGAUCACGCUGUCGUUCUAUGGAACGAGAGUGAUGAAGAAAACAAAUGGACGUCGAAAACUCUACACAGGAAUCUACAUUCAGCUGCUGUGAUGGGAGUCGAUGGGAUGAGGAACAAGAACGUCGUUUUGUCGGUUGGAGCAGACAAGAGAAUAUACGGGUUCGAUGUUCAGGUUGGUAGAGCAGACUACAAGCAUCAGAUAGAUUAUAAAUGCAUGAGCGUUCUCUCCAAUCCUUGUGACUUCAAUCUCUUUAUGGUUCAAUCCGGGGAACCGGAGAAACAGCUUCGACUGUUUGAUAUCAGAUUAAGGAGAACCGAACUCCAUUCAUUUGGUUGGAAGCAAGACAGCAGUGAAUCACAAUCAGCUUUGAUAAACCAGUCUUGGUCUCCUGAUGGUUUACACAUCACCUCUGGUUCAGCUGACCCGGUUAUCCAUGUUUUUGACAUCAGGUACAAUGCUCGUAAACCGACGCAGUCAAUAAAAGCUCAUCAGAAGAGAGUGUUUAAAGCGGAAUGGCAUUACUCUCAGCCACUUCUUAUCUCCAUAUCUUCUGAUCUCAACAUUGGUCUGCACAAGAUCUCAUGACCACUCUCAUAUGUCUCUCUGUUUCUAAGGAUCGUAAGUUCUUGGGAAUCAUGAAAAGCUUCAUCAAAUUCCAAAUGUGUUCUUUCAAGUACAUGGUUACAUCUUUAAGAUUUUAGUGUUGAUGGAUGUGUCUGAAGAAGAGAAAGAGUAGAAAUUGAAUUACCACAGCGUGAAGCUUGCGUUGGCGUAUGGGAUCUUGAAGAGUAGUCAUCAUGGAUCAGAAGUUAGAGAUUCAGAAGAAUAUAUAAGUAUGUUUAGUGAUUGCCAAAGCUGGAUCAACUCAGUGUCCAACUUGUUGAAUAGAGUGAUUAUAAUGUGGGAUCGGAUACGGUUUCGUAGGUGUAAAUGGUUAAAAGAAAGAACAAUGCUUUACAAACCAGCGACCUAAAGAUCAUCUGUUGAGAACAA